This 468-nucleotide ribosomal RNA is filed under the name uncultured bacterium. RNAcentral's name for it is "partial 16S ribosomal RNA". It matches the Rfam family "Bacterial small subunit ribosomal RNA", at positions 28 to 507 of the family's 1533-position model. The record is from RNAcentral.
GAUGAACGCUGGCGGCGUGCUUAACACAUGCAAGUCGAACGGAAAGGCCCAAGCUUGCUUGGGUACUCGAGUGGCGAACGGGUGAGUAACACGUGGGUGAUCUGCCCUGCACUUCGGGAUAAGCCUGGGAAACUGGGUCUAAUACCGGAUAGGACCACUUCUUGGAUGUUGUGGUGGAAAGUUUUUUCGGUGUGGGAUGAGCUCGCGGCCUAUCAGCUUGUUGGUGGGGUAAUGGCCUACCAAGGCGUCGACGGGUAGCCGGCCUGGGAGGGUGUACGGCCACAUUGGGACUGAGAUACGGCCCAGACUCCUACGGGAGGCAGCAGUGGGGAAUAUUGCACAAUGGGCGCAAGCCUGAUGCAGCGACGCCGCGUGGGGGAUGACGGCCUUCGGGUUGUAAACUCCUUUCGCUAGGGACGAAGCGUUUUUGUGACGGUACCUGGAGAAGAAGCACCGGCUAACUACGUG